This is a long non-coding RNA of Scylla paramamosain (green mud crab), 845 nucleotides long. RefSeq lists it as uncharacterized. Lineage: Eukaryota; Metazoa; Arthropoda; Malacostraca; Decapoda; Portunidae. The record is from RefSeq and is a predicted model, not a curated record. The transcript is spliced from 4 exons.
GUCCAUGGGUGCCAGGAGUGUUUCCUCUUCCUCCUGUAGUGGUCUCUUCCUGCUGGGAGGGGUGAAGGAAGGCAUAUUGGUCUGCAGCAGCCUCUCCACCUGUUGCUUCAUCUUGUCAUCCUGAAAUGUUGACAUAAGAGCCACCACAAAUGUCCGCCAAACAUCUGAGUGAGUCUGAGGAACCCCACACACACACCCACCUCCAGCCAGUGAUGUUUGAGAGCAGCAGCAGCGUCCAGUCUCAGCUUGGGGUCCCUGACGAGAAGGCGCAUGAUGAGGUCCCUUGCUGGCUCAGACACUGCCUUCCAGAGCUUGUGGCCAAAACUGUACUUGGCCUGCAGGAUGCUCUGUCGCACCUCCAAGUCAUUGCCAUGGAAAGGCGAUGCCCCGACAAAACUGUGGAGGUGCAGGUGAUUGUCAAGUGAUGAUGACAAGAUGUGGUAGUAAAUGCAGUGGUGUACAGAAGAGACACAGCACCUGACAUAGAGCACCACGCCAAGGCUCCACAUGUCCACCUGGCUUGUAUAGGUGGCAGUGGCUGUGUCCAGGAGCUCAGGGGCGAUGUAGAUGAAGGUCCCGCAGAAGGUGGUCAUCUGGGAGGCGUCAGCGGCUAACUUAGAGAGGCCAAAGUCAGUCAGCUUAAUGGUGGUGAACUCGUCUGUUGUGGCCAGUAAGAUGUUCUCCGGCUGAAGGAAAGGUGGCAGAAAUGAACACAGCAGCAGCCAGCCAGCCAGCCAUUCAGUCACCUACCUUGAUGUCCCUGUGGGUGAUCUUACGCUGGUGGAGGUACUGCACGGCGAGUAACAGCUGGUAGAAAAAGAACUUGACAGCAGGUUCAGGGAGAC